Molecule: non-coding RNA, 729 nt
Organism: Xyrichtys novacula (pearly razorfish)
Lineage: Eukaryota; Metazoa; Chordata; Actinopteri; Labriformes; Labridae
Source: the annotation of a GenBank genome assembly
GAUUUUUUCCCAUAGGAAUGCAUGGUUUAGGGUUAUGGUUAGGGUUAGGGUUGGAGCUAGGGUUAGGGUUAGGGUUAGGGUUGGAGUUAGGGUUAGUGUUGGAGCUAGGGUUAGGGUUGGGCUUGGAGCUAGGACUUUUCUGAGUGCAAUGAACCAACUCCCGAGUCUCUAGGACGUUCCCUAAAAAAAUUUGAUUUUUUCCCAUAGGAAUGCAUGGGUUAGGGUUAGGGUUAGGGUUGGAGCUAGGGUUAGGGUUAGGGUUAGGGUUGGAGUUAGGGUUAAUGUUGGAGCUAGGGUUAGGGUUGGGCUUGGAGCUAGGAUUUUUCUGAGUGCACUGAACCAACUCCCGAGUCUCUAGGACAUUCCUAAAAAAAUUUGAUUUUUUCCCAUAGGAAUGCAUGGGUUAGGGUUAGGGUUAGGGUUAGGGUUGGAGCUAGGGUUAGGGUUAGGGUUAGGGUUGGAGUUAGGGUUAGUGUUGGAGCUAGGGUUAGGGUUGGGCUUGGAGCUAGGAUUUUUCUGAGUGCACUGAACCAACUCCCGAGUCUCUAGGACAUUCCUAAAAAAAUUUGAUUUUUUCCCAUAGGAAUGCAUGGGUUAGGGUUAUGGUUAGGGUUAGGGUUGGAGCUAGGAUUUAGGGUUAGGGUUAGGGUUGGAGUUAGGGUUAGUGUUGGAGCUAGGGUUAGGGUUGGGCUUGGAGCUAGGAUUUUUCUGAGUGCAAUGAACCAACUC